GCCCGCAUGGUCUAAUGGUUAUGACGCUCGCCUCACAAAACACUUGACAGUGGACGCGAUAGGUUCCAGGUUCGAUCCCUGGUGCGGGCA
This is a non-coding RNA of Lasiosphaeria hispida, 90 nucleotides long. NCBI's taxonomy places the organism in Eukaryota, Fungi, Ascomycota, Sordariomycetes, Sordariales, Lasiosphaeriaceae. The record is from the annotation of a GenBank genome assembly.